This 73-nucleotide transfer RNA is filed under the name Streptomyces sp. CA-256286. RNAcentral's name for it is "tRNA-Gln". Lineage: Bacteria; Bacillati; Actinomycetota; Actinomycetes; Kitasatosporales; Streptomycetaceae. The record is from RNAcentral.
CAUCACCGUGGUGGAGGCCGGCCGCACGGCCCAUCUGGCGGGGCAGUGCCCGAUCGGCCCGGACGGUGACGUC